This 83-nucleotide non-coding RNA is filed under the name Dethiobacter alkaliphilus. Its description in RNAcentral is "c-di-GMP-II sequence". It matches the Rfam family "Cyclic di-GMP-II riboswitch aptamer". The record is from RNAcentral. Lineage: Bacteria; Bacillati; Bacillota; Dethiobacteria; Dethiobacterales; Dethiobacteraceae. RNAcentral also lists the same sequence under 1 other name.
AAUUUUUGUGGGGGCAAUGAUUUUUGGGCUGAUUUGGACGCUUUGCCUGGAAUGAGCCGGUAGCGUAACCGACCACUUGUGGU